This 72-nucleotide transfer RNA is filed under the name Camelus bactrianus (Bactrian camel). It matches the Rfam family "tRNA". From Rfam's summary of the family: Transfer RNA (tRNA) molecules are approximately 80 nucleotides in length. Their secondary structure includes four short double-helical elements and three loops (D, anti-codon, and T loops). Lineage: Eukaryota; Metazoa; Chordata; Mammalia; Artiodactyla; Camelidae. The record is from Rfam by way of RNAcentral. RNAcentral also lists the same sequence under 2 other names.
GUGGAUAAAGCUCAGUGGUAGAGCGCUUGCUUAGCACCCAUGAGGUCCUGUGUUCAAUCCUCAGUACCUCCA